AGAUUGAACGCUGGCGGUAUGCUUAACACAUGCAAGUCGAACGGCAGCACAGGGUAGCUUGCUAUCCGGGUGGCGAGUGGCGGACGGGUGAGUAACGCGUAGGAAUCUACCUUUUCGUGGGGGAUAACCCGGGGAAACUCGGGCUAAUACCGCAUACGCCCUACGGGGGAAAGCGGGGGACCUUCGGGCCUCGCGCGAAACGAUGAGCCUGCGUCCUAUCAGGGUAGUUGGUGAGGUAAUCGGCUCACCAAGCCGACGACGGGUAGCUGGUCUGAGAGGACGACCAGCCACACUGGGACUGAGACACGGCCCAGACUCCUACGGGAGCAGCAGGUGGGAAUAGUUGGACAAGUGGGGGAAACCCUGAUCAGCAAUACCGCGUGUGUGAAGAGG
Molecule: ribosomal RNA, 393 nt
Filed under: uncultured soil bacterium
Lineage: Bacteria
Description: bacterial SSU rRNA
Rfam family: Bacterial small subunit ribosomal RNA
Source: RNAcentral